GAUGAACGCUGGCGGCGUGCCUAAUACAUGCAAGUCGAGCGAACGGACGAGAAGCUUGCUUCUCUGAUGUUAGCGGCGGACGGGUGAGUAACACGUGGAUAACCUACCUAUAUGACUGGGAGAACUUCGGGAAACCGGAUCUAAUACCGGAUAAUAUUUUGAACCGCAUGGUUCAAAAGUUCAAGACGGUCUUCGUGUCACUUAUAGAUGGAUCCGAGCUGCAUUAGCUAGUUGGUAAGGUAACGGCUUACCAAGGCAACGAUGCAUAGCCGACCUGAGAGGGUGAUCGGCCACACUGGAACUGAGACACGGUCCAGACUCCUACGGGAGGCAGCAGUGGGGAAUCUUCCGCAAUGGGCGAAAGCCUGACGGAGCAACGCCGCGUGAGUGAUGAAGGUCUUCGGAUCGUAAAACUCUGUUAUUAGGGAAGAACAGCUGUGUGAGUAAAUGUGCACAUCUUGACGGUACCUAAUCAGAAAGCAACGGCUAACUACGUG
Molecule: ribosomal RNA, 497 nt
Filed under: uncultured bacterium
Lineage: Bacteria
Description: partial 16S ribosomal RNA
Rfam family: Bacterial small subunit ribosomal RNA
Source: RNAcentral